CAUACCCAACACCGUCUGCUCUGACCUGCCGAUCUGCUCCGACCUGCCGAUCUACCGUGAAAACCUCGACGCAGCCACUACCUCCACCGCUGAUCUGCCGACGCCACCGCUGCUGCCACCGCCAUAGCCGACGUCUCCGCCCCUGCUUCAGACACCCACGACCGCCGCUCCAUCGAAGAAGAAGAAGAAGAAGAAAGCUCAGAGCACAAGACCACUUGCAGAUGGCGGCGUUGGUUGCGGCUUCAUCAUCAACCUCCGGAUUGAUGGAGAGGAGAGGAAUUUCGGCGGCGGUGUUCCUGAAGAACUGUUCAGGAAGAGAUACAGAAGCUAGCUUAGCUUGCUGAUGGAUAUGAUGCACAGAAUUAUACAUGCAGGCAUCACCAAAUCACUUGGUUAAGUUGAGAAAAAAACUGUAUGAUGGUAAAAUUAUGGUAAACUGGAAGGAGUAAAAUAGUAAUGAAAGAAAGGAAGGAUAUAUGCCAGAAGAAGAUUUGAUCAAGAACCAUUGCAAAGUGCUUCUGUGCAAUAUAUGUCUUCCACUAGAAAGGCUCAUAAGUCUCUUAUAUAGAGGGUAAAAUGUAACAGUCUUUGGAGGUGCCUUGUUGAAAACUUAAGUUCCCACUUCACUUGUUGCACUUGGAAUUCUGUAGAUUCCUGAACCACUAGAGAAAGGACUUGCUGAGGACAUUGAAAAUGGUGUUGUCUUCUGAACAUGGCAGAAUAACUUGUCUUCUGAACGCUUGAUUCUUCAGGACACACUAUUGGAGCAAACAUCUCCUGCGCCCUUUCAGACUCAAGUGUCACCUAAUGAUCCAGACUCCAUAUUGCAUACAGAAGAUACACACACCCAUACAAAUCCUGUUGGCCAUGCAAGUGAUGUUGCAGGCGGGUCUGGGUUAAGGAUUCGGAAGCGUCAACGACAAAAUCGACCAACUUCAGGAAACAUUAUCACCCGAGGCACUGCCCCAAGGAGAAUUCAUUUUGUGUUGGAACGGGAACCAAUUUCUGUUAGUUCUGCUAAUAUGGCAGAGGCAGGAAGUUUUGGCAGUGAAGUGCAUAAAGCACAAUCACUCGUGGCAGAGGUUCAAGCAUCUCUCACAUCCUUCAAAACUAAGGCAUCAGAAGAAUCAUAUGGGGAUAAUAGUGCCACCAACCACCGCACUACAGUAGAUGGUGAAACUGGCACAAAGGUUUGGAUGCCUCAGCUAUUUAACCAAGCAAGCUCAUAGCACAAUGUGAGCCAGGUAAGUGCUGCAAAGAGAAUUUUGCAGAUGGAACAAGUAACUGUGUCGGUUAGUUUUGGACAAGCAGGCAUAGGACAUGGAAGAAGAGCUGUAAUAGGGGAGGUAAGAUUAAAUGUCAGCUUUCUAAAUCAGUUUUGUUUUGUGUACUGCUUUUGAAAUUGUUCUUAAAACUUGAGGAAUUCCAAAUGAAGACAUGGCGUUUAACUCGUGGGUGUUUGCUUAUUUGCUAAGAACUUCUCAUAAUGUGUUCUGUAGGCAUAUAUUUUUCUGGAAAUAGAAAACAAAUUUCUUUCAUCCUGGUAAAAUCUGUCAUAUUCCAUGCAGGCCCAUGAAUGCACUUCAAGCACUGAUAAGGAUGAGAUGCACAGUGCAAGCACCAUGGAAACCACUCAAGAACAUGAUACAACAGUUCGGUUACUGUCCAAACAGGGCAGUAAUCAUCACCUCUCAAAGAAUGGGUUCUCUUUCUCAUCGCUUGUAUCGCAUGUUCUCUGUGGGCUCAGCUUCUCAAGAUUAUAUGCUGUCAGCAUAUAUGUAAUAGUAGCCGUGUCAAUAUUCUGUAUUAUGAUCUGGAAGUACCCAAGCAAAGCUGUAGUGCAAAGAUAAACAUGUGCAUGCUAGUCUUUGUUAUUCAGUAGAUUGCUGUAA
Molecule: long non-coding RNA, 1892 nt
Organism: Ipomoea nil (Japanese morning glory)
Lineage: Eukaryota; Viridiplantae; Streptophyta; Magnoliopsida; Solanales; Convolvulaceae
Exons: 7
Source: RefSeq, a predicted model, not a curated record